UAACUACUCAAGCCUGGCUUGGUGUUGGGGUCCGCGGUCUCGCGGCCCUUAAAAUCAGUGGCGGUGCCGUCUGGCUCUAAGCGUAGUAAUGCUCUCGCUAUAGGGUCUUGCGGUCCCCCGCCAGAACCCCCCAUUUUCUCA
This 141-nucleotide unclassified non-coding RNA is filed under the name uncultured Helotiales. RNAcentral describes it as "sequence contains ITS2". The record is from RNAcentral. Lineage: Eukaryota; Fungi; Ascomycota; Leotiomycetes; Helotiales.